AUCAACUUUCGAUGGUAGGAUAGAGGCCUACCAUGGUGGUAACGGGUAACGGGGUGUUAGGGCACGACACCGGAGAGGGAGCCUGAGAACGGCUACCACAUCCAAGGAUGGCAGCAGGCGCGCAAAUUACCCAAUCCCGACACGGGGAGGUAGUGACAAUAAAUAACAAUACGGGGUCCUUUCGGGUUUCGUAAUUGGAAUGAGUACAAUUUAAAUCUCUUAACGAGGAACAAUUGGAGGGCAAGUCUGGUGCCAGCAGCCGCGGUAAUUCCAGCUCCAAUAGCGUAUAUUAAAGUUGUUGCAGUUAAAAAGCUCGUAGUUGAAUUUCGGGAUUAGUACGCUGGUCGUGCCUUCGGUAUGUACUGGUGUUACUGGUUCCUACCUUCUGACGAACCGUCAUGUCAUUAAUUUGGUGUGGCGGGAAAUCAGGACUGUUACUUUGAAAAAAUUAGAGUGUUUAAAGCAGGCUCGCGCUUGAAUACAUUAGCAUGGAAUAAUGAAAUAGGACGUUCGAUCCUAUUUUGUUGGUUUCUAGGAUUGACGUAAUGAUUAAUAGGGAUAGUUGGGGGCAUUAGUAUUCAAUUGUCAGAGGUGAAAUUCUUGGAUUUAUUGAAGACUAACUACUGCGAAAGCAUUUGCCAAGGAUGUUUUCAUUAAUCAAGAACGAAAGUUAGGGGAUCGAAGACGAUCAGAUACCGUCGUAGUCUUAACCAUAAACUAUGCCGACUAGGGAUCGGAUGAUGUUAUUUUUAAUGACUCAUUCGGCGCCUUACGGGAAACCAAAGUGUUUGGGUUC
This 796-nucleotide ribosomal RNA is filed under the name uncultured Glomeromycotina. RNAcentral's name for it is "SSU rRNA". It matches the Rfam family "Eukaryotic small subunit ribosomal RNA", at positions 314 to 1114 of the family's 1831-position model. The record is from RNAcentral. Lineage: Eukaryota; Fungi; Glomeromycota.